Molecule: ribosomal RNA, 463 nt
Filed under: uncultured bacterium
Lineage: Bacteria
Description: partial 16S ribosomal RNA
Rfam family: Bacterial small subunit ribosomal RNA
Source: RNAcentral
CGAACGCUGGCGGCGUGCUUAACACAUGCAAGUCGAACGGAAAGGCCCCUUUGGGGGUACUCGAGUGGCGAACGGGUGAGUAACACGUGAGUAACCUGCCCUUGACUUCGGGAUAACUUCAGGAAACUGGGGCUAAUACCGGAUAGGAAUCCUUGCUGCAUGGUGGGGGUUGGAAAGCUUCGGCGGUUUUGGAUGGACUCGCGGCUUAUCAGCUUGUUGGUGGGGUAGUGGCUUACCAAGGCUUUGACGGGUAGCCGGCCUGAGAGGGCGACCGGCCACAUUGGGACUGAGAUACGGCCCAGACUCCUACGGGAGGCAGCAGUGGGGAAUAUUGCACAAUGGGCGGAAGCCUGAUGCAGCAACGCCGCGUGCGGGAUGACGGCCUUCGGGUUGUAAACCGCGUUCAGCAGGGGCGAAGCUUGUGGUGACGGUACCUGCAGAAGAAGCACCGGCUAACUACGUG